UGCCAAAAAGCCAAGGUUUAUCAAAGGCAGC
This 31-nucleotide non-coding RNA is filed under the name Rattus norvegicus (Norway rat). Lineage: Eukaryota; Metazoa; Chordata; Mammalia; Rodentia; Muridae. The record is from RNAcentral.